This 725-nucleotide ribosomal RNA is filed under the name Gambierdiscus australes. RNAcentral's name for it is "LSU rRNA". It matches the Rfam family "Eukaryotic large subunit ribosomal RNA", at positions 2052 to 2779 of the family's 3401-position model. The record is from RNAcentral. Lineage: Eukaryota; Dinophyceae; Gonyaulacales; Pyrocystaceae.
AACUGCUGGACAAGGAGUGUUCUGUUGAGCUCAUUUUCACACGAUGAACAACUGGCUUAGAACUGAUUCGGGCAAGGGGAAUCCGACUGUUUAAUUGAAACAAAGCAUUGCGAGGGCCUCAAAGGGUGGUGCCACAAUGUGAUUUCUGCCCAGUGCUCUGAAUGUCAAAGUGAGGAAAUUCAACUAAGCGCGGGUAAACGGCGGGAGUAACUAUGACUCUCUUAAGGUAGCCAAAUGCCUCGUCAUCCAAUUAGUGACGCGCAUGAAUGGAUUAAUGAGAUUCCCACUGUCCCCAUCUACUGUCCAGCGAAACCACAGCCAAGGGAACGGGCUUGGGUAAAUCAGCGGGGAAAGAAGACCCUGUUGAGCUUGACUCUAAUCUGACUUUGUGAAAUGACUUAGGAGGUGUAGGAUAUGUGGGAGCUCUGGUGAUCUUGAAAUACCACUACUCUUAAUGUCACUUUACUUACUCUAUCAUACUGUGGCCUGCUUCCCAGCAGGUUUUUGUUUCAAGGCAUCUCAUCUGACUUGUUGACUUGCGUAGAGGACGUAAUCAGGUGGGCAGUUUGGCUGGGGCGGCACAUCUGUUAAAGGAUAACGCAGGUGUCCCAAGGUAAGCUCAAGGAGAACAGAAAUCUCAUGUGGAUCACAAGGGGAAAUGCUUGCUUGAUUUUGCUUUUCAGUGUGAAGACAAACUGUGCAAACAUGGCCUAUCGAUCCUUUGG